UCAUAGUCUGCUAGCCUGCCAUGCGCACUAAAGUGUCUUCUCCUCCAAACCUGGUGAACUCGUAAAAAAACCUCGUUUUGGGCCAACCAACAUCCGCAAUCACCGAUGGCCCCCCUUUCCGCCAUUCCAAUGGGAUUUGUUAGGAUAGGCCUUCGAACUUGGAGACGAGUCGGCCAUGUUGAAAAACGCUCAAACCAUCCAGAAAAGAA
Daphnia magna is the source of this 209-nucleotide long non-coding RNA. RefSeq lists it as uncharacterized. The transcript has 2 exons. The record is from RefSeq and is a predicted model, not a curated record. NCBI's taxonomy places the organism in Eukaryota, Metazoa, Arthropoda, Branchiopoda, Diplostraca, Daphniidae.